UUAAGUCCGUAACGAGCGCAACCCUUGUCCUUAGUUACCAGCACGUUAUGGUGGGCACUCUAAGGAGACUGCCGGUGACAAACCGGAGGAAGGUGGGGAUGACGUCAAGUCAUCAUGGCCCUUACGGCCUGGGCUACACACGUGCUACAAUGGUCGGUACAAAGGGUUGCCAAGCCGCGAGGUGGAGCUAAUCCCAUAAAACCGAUCGUAGUCCGGAUCGCAGUCUGCAACUCGACUGCGUGAAGUCGGAAUCGCUAGUAAUCGUGAAUCAGAAUGUCACGGUGAAUACGUUCCCGGGCCUU
RNAcentral lists this ribosomal RNA (302 nucleotides) under uncultured Pseudomonas sp. Its description in RNAcentral is "bacterial SSU rRNA". It matches the Rfam family "Bacterial small subunit ribosomal RNA", at positions 1080 to 1382 of the family's 1533-position model. Lineage: Bacteria; Pseudomonadati; Pseudomonadota; Gammaproteobacteria; Pseudomonadales; Pseudomonadaceae. The record is from RNAcentral.